UACGUAGGGGGCAAGCGUUGUCCGGAUUUAUUGGGCGUAAAGAGCGUGUAGGCGGCCAAGCAGGUCCGCUGUGAAAACUCGAGGCUCAACCUCGAGACGUCGGUGGAAACCGUUUGGCUAGAGUCCGGAAGAGGAGAGUGGAAUUCCCGGUGUAGCGGUGAAAUGCGCAGAGUAUCGGGAAGAACACCCGUGGCGAAGGCGGCUCUCUGGGACGGUACUGACGCUGAGACGCGAAAGCGUGGGGAGCGAACAGG
Molecule: ribosomal RNA, 254 nt
Filed under: uncultured bacterium
Lineage: Bacteria
Description: partial 16S ribosomal RNA
Rfam family: Bacterial small subunit ribosomal RNA
Source: RNAcentral